RNAcentral lists this ribosomal RNA (493 nucleotides) under uncultured bacterium. RNAcentral's name for it is "partial 16S ribosomal RNA". It matches the Rfam family "Bacterial small subunit ribosomal RNA", at positions 29 to 507 of the family's 1533-position model. The record is from RNAcentral.
AGUGAACGCUGGCGGUAGGCCUAACACAUGCAAGUCGAACGGCAGCACAGUAAGAGCUUGCUCUUACGGGUGGCGAGUGGCGGACGGGUGAGGAAUACAUCGGAAUCUACUUUUUCGUGGGGGGAUAACGUAGGGAAACUUACGCUAAUACCGCAUACGACCUACGGGUGAACGCAGGGGAUCUUCGGACCUUGCGCGAUUGAAUGAGCCGAUGUCGGAUUAGCUAGUUGGCGGGGUAAAGGCCCACCAAGGCGACGAUCCGUAGCUGGUCUGAGAGGAUGAUCAGCCACACUGGAACUGAGACACGGUCCAGACUCUUACGGGAGGCAGCAGUGGGGAAUAUUGGACAAAGGGCGCAAGCCUGAUCCAGCCAUACCGCGUGGGUGAAGAAGGCCUUCGGGUUGUAAAGCCCUUUUGUUGGGAAAGAAAAGCAGCAGGUUAAUACCCCGCCGUUCUGACGGUACCCAAAGAAUAAGCACCGGCUAACUUCGUG